This 2834-nucleotide ribosomal RNA is filed under the name Salmonella enterica subsp. enterica serovar Typhimurium. RNAcentral's name for it is "partial 23S ribosomal RNA". It matches the Rfam family "Bacterial large subunit ribosomal RNA". Lineage: Bacteria; Pseudomonadati; Pseudomonadota; Gammaproteobacteria; Enterobacterales; Enterobacteriaceae. The record is from RNAcentral.
AAUCCAUAGGUUAAUGAGGCGAACCGGGGGAACUGAAACAUCUAAGUACCCCGAGGAAAAGAAAUCAACCGAGAUUCCCCCAGUAGCGGCGAGCGAACGGGGAGGAGCCCAGAGCCUGAAUCAGCAUGUGUGUUAGUGGAAGCGUCUGGAAAGGCGCGCGAUACAGGGUGACAGCCCCGUACACAAAAGCGCAUGUGCUGUGAGCUCGAUGAGUAGGGCGGGACACGUGGUAUCCUGUCUGAAUAUGGGGGGACCAUCCUCCAAGGCUAAAUACUCCUGACUGACCGAUAGUGAACCAGUACCGUGAGGGAAAGGCGAAAAGAACCCCGGCGAGGGGAGUGAAAAAGAACCUGAAACCGUGUACGUACAAGCAGUGGGAGCACCCUUCGGGGUGUGACUGCGUACCUUUUGUAUAAUGGGUCAGCGACUUAUAUUCUGUAGCAAGGUUAACCGUAUAGGGGAGCCGGAGGGAAACCGAGUCUUAAUUGGGCGUUAAGUUGCAGGGUAUAGACCCGAAACCCGGUGAUCUAGCCAUGGGCAGGUUGAAGGUUGGGUAACACUAACUGGAGGACCGAACCGACUAAUGUUGAAAAAUUAGCGGAUGACCUGUGGCUGGGGGUGAAAGGCCAAUCAAACCGGGAGAUAGCUGGUUCUCCCCGAAAGCUAUUUAGGUAGCGCCUCGUGAAUUCAUCUCCGGGGGUAGAGCACUGUUUCGGCUAGGGGGCCAUCCCGGCUUACCAACCCGAUGCAAACUGCGAAUACCGGAGAAUGUUAUCACGGGAGACACACGGCGGGUGCUAACGUCCGUCGUGAAGAGGGAAACAACCCAGACCGCCAGCUAAGGUCCCAAAGUCAUGGUUAAGUGGGAAACGAUGUGGGAAGGCCCAGACAGCCAGGAUGUUGGCUUAGAAGCAGCCAUCAUUUAAAGAAAGCGUAAUAGCUCACUGGUCGAGUCGGCCUGCGCGGAAGAUGUAACGGGGCUAAACCAUGCACCGAAGCUGCGGCAGCGAACGUAUCACCCAAGACAACUUUACGGAGUUGACGAUUGACGGAGCGAAGCGACGUCAAAGCGUUCAUUAAAGUCGAGUUGGCUUAGGGAUACGUUCGUUGGGUAGGGGAGCGUUCUGUAAGCCUGUGAAGGUGUGUCGUGAGGCAUGCUGGAGGUAUCAGAAGUGCGAAUGCUGACAUAAGUAACGAUAAAGCGGGUGAAAAGCCCGCUCGCCGGAAGACCAAGGGUUCCUGUCCAACGUUAAUCGGGGCAGGGUGAGUCGACCCCUAAGGCGAGGCCGAAAGGCGUAGUCGAUGGGAAACGGGUUAAUAUUCCCGUACUUGGUGUUACUGCGAAGGGGGGACGGAGAAGGCUAUGUUGGCCGGGCGACGGUUGUCCCGGUUUAAGCGUGUAGGUGUGUGUUCCAGGUAAAUCCGGUUCACUUUAACACUGAGGCGUGACGACGAGGCACUACGGUGCUGAAGCAACAAAUGCCCUGCUUCCAGGAAAAGCCUCUAAGCAUCAGGUAACACGAAAUCGUACCCCAAACCGACACAGGUGGUCAGGUAGAGAAUACCAAGGCGCUUGAGAGAACUCGGGUGAAGGAACUAGGCAAAAUGGUGCCGUAACUUCGGGAGAAGGCACGCUGACACGUAGGUGAAGUGAUUUACUCAUGGAGCUGAAGUCAGUCGAAGAUACCAGCUGGCUGCAACUGUUUAUUAAAAACACAGCACUGUGCAAACACGAAAGUGGACGUAUACGGUGUGACGCCUGCCCGGUGCCGGAAGGUUAAUUGAUGGGGUCAGCGCAAGCGAAGCUCCUGAUCGAAGCCCCGGUAAACGGCGGCCGUAACUAUAACGGUCCUAAGGUAGCGAAAUUCCUUGUCGGGUAAGUUCCGACCUGCACGAAUGGCGUAAUGAUGGCCAGGCUGUCUCCACCCGAGACUCAGUGAAAUUGAACUCGCUGUGAAGAUGCAGUGUACCCGCGGCAAGACGGAAAGACCCCGUGAACCUUUACUAUAGCUUGACACUGAACAUUGAGCCUUGAUGUGUAGGAUAGGUGGGAGGCUUUGAAGUGUGGACGCCAGUCUGCAUGGAGCCGACCUUGAAAUACCACCCUUUAAUGUUUGAUGUUCUAACGUGGACCCGUAAUCCGGGUUGCGGACAGUGUCUGGUGGGUAGUUUGACUGGGGCGGUCUCCUCCUAAAGAGUAACGGAGGAGCACGAAGGUUGGCUAAUCCUGGUCGGACAUCAGGAGGUUAGUGCAAUGGCAUAAGCCAGCUUGACUGCGAGCGUGACGGCGCGAGCAGGUGCGAAAGCAGGUCAUAGUGAUCCGGUGGUUCUGAAUGGAAGGGCCAUCGCUCAACGGAUAAAAGGUACUCCGGGGAUAACAGGCUGAUACCGCCCAAGAGUUCAUAUCGACGGCGGUGUUUGGCACCUCGAUGUCGGCUCAUCACAUCCUGGGGCUGAAGUAGGUCCCAAGGGUAUGGCUGUUCGCCAUUUAAAGUGGUACGCGAGCUGGGUUUAGAACGUCGUGAGACAGUUCGGUCCCUAUCUGCCGUGGGCGCUGGAGAACUGAGGGGGGCUGCUCCUAGUACGAGAGGACCGGAGUGGACGCAUCACUGGUGUUCGGGUUGUCAUGCCAAUGGCACUGCCCGGUAGCUAAAUGCGGAAGAGAUAAGUGCUGAAAGCAUCUAAGCACGAAACUUGCCCCGAGAUGAGUUCUCCCUGAGACUUAGAGUCUCCUGAAGGAACGUUGAAGACGACGACGUUGAUAGGCCGGGUGUGUAAGCGCAGCGAUGCGUUGAGCUAACCGGUACUAAUGAACCGUGAGGCUUAACCUUACA